GAAACCGACAUUAAUACGGGUUGCAGACCAAGAGCUAAGCUAAGUUAGUUUAGCUUAUCUCGCAUAGCUGACGCAGUUUUCCAUACUUGUGUGCAGACCGCAAACUAUGCGAACUAAGCUAUGUGAGCUAACUAAAAUGUGCGAAGCUAAGUUAGUUGUGUAUGCCGAUGCGCAGCUACUAGAGCUAAGCUAAGCCCCUCCCGCUACCCCGCACACCCUUUGCACAUCCUUCGCCACACUGUCUGAGCUUUGGCUUAGCUGUGGGUGUGCACGCUAUUUAUUUCUAGCUUAGCUUAGCCUAGCUUGCUUGGCAUAGCUUAGUUUAGCCUUGGCAUAGCUUUGUUUUCGGUCUGCAAC
This is a long non-coding RNA of Pieris napi, 357 nucleotides long. RefSeq lists it as uncharacterized. The transcript has 3 exons. The record is from RefSeq and is a predicted model, not a curated record. NCBI's taxonomy places the organism in Eukaryota, Metazoa, Arthropoda, Insecta, Lepidoptera, Pieridae.